This is an unclassified non-coding RNA of Callithrix jacchus (white-tufted-ear marmoset), 300 nucleotides long. It matches the Rfam family "Metazoan signal recognition particle RNA". From Rfam's summary of the family: The signal recognition particle (SRP) is a universally conserved ribonucleoprotein. It is involved in the co-translational targeting of proteins to membranes. The record is from Ensembl. Lineage: Eukaryota; Metazoa; Chordata; Mammalia; Primates; Cebidae.
GCCAGGCAUGGUAGCUUGUGCCUGUAGUUCCAGCUACUUGGGAGGCUGAGGUGGGAGGAUCGCUUGAGCCCAGGAGUUCUGUGCUGUAGUGCGCUAUGCGGAUCGGGUGUCUGCACUAAGUGUGGCAUCAAUGUGGUGAUCUCCUGGAAGCAGGGGACCACCAGGUUGCCUAAGGAGGGGUAAACUGGCCCAGGUCAGAAACAGAGCAGGUCUAAACACCCAUGCUGAUCAGUAGUGGGAUCACGCCUGUGAAUAGCCACUGCACUCCAGCCUGGGCAACACAGCGAGACCCUGUCUCUU